UUCCUUCUAUUCUUCUCUCUAUACGUCGGUGUUCUAACCAAUAAUCACCGAUACGAUAUUCAGUCCGAUCGAUUCAGGAACCAACUAACGAAUGCCAAAGUGCUGUCUUAAUAAGACUAUACUUUGUGAAUUUCGUUAAGGUUCUGAUCUCGUGACCAUCGUUAGGUUUGAUAUGGUUUUACUCUAAAACGUAUUCCACUCUGUUAAACUAUAUGUUUAACUAUCAGAAAACUCUGAUCCAUAACCUUACUAUCAAACAAGAUGUUUAAUCAUCAGAAGAUUCAGAACUAUAAAGUAGGUGCUUAGAAUCAAAGAGACUUGUUAAAUCAAGACUACAUUCUUAUAAAGACCCAAUAGUGAUAUGACCACAGUCAUAGAUCCGGUGAUUACAGUAGAUUGGAAUAAGAGUGAUGAUACGAUACUGAAAGGCUUAAAGAAGUGGCUUAUUUUAUCAAUUAAAUUAAAUUAAGAAAACAUUGUUUCAUAUAUUCGGGUUUAUCCCAUAUUAAAGCUACCUUUGUGAAACAUGGGUUUAUUCCCAUCUGUUUAAUAAAUAAAAUCCGGUGU
This 567-nucleotide long non-coding RNA is filed under the name Helianthus annuus (common sunflower). RNAcentral describes it as "hypothetical non coding rna". Lineage: Eukaryota; Viridiplantae; Streptophyta; Magnoliopsida; Asterales; Asteraceae. The record is from RNAcentral.